UUUUUUUUUUUUUUUUUGGUAUUUUGUCUUUUUAGGGCCACACUCUUGGCUUAUGGAUGUUUUCAGGCUAGUGGUCGAAUCCAAGCUCAGCUGACCGCCUAUGCCACAGCCACAGCCACAGCAACGCGGGAUCCGAGCCACAUAUGCAACCUACACCACAGGUCAUGGCAAUGCUGGAUUCUUAACCCACUGAGCAAGGCCAGGGAUUGAACCCGUGUCUUCAGCGAUACUCUUUGGGUUCGUUAAUGACUGAGCCACUGCAGGAACUCUGGUACAACAUCUAUUUUAAACUAGAUAGACAAAUGGAUUUUAAUUAACCAAUCAUUUUUAAUGUAACCAAUGUAAUGUAAUCAAUGUAAAUCAUUGAUAUGUCUUCAAAUUCUACACGGCAACUAAGUUUUAAGAAACUAUCAUUUCUUGAGUUUGGUGUAAUAUCAAAGAUGAAUAUUCACAGUUAUUUGAAAGACUGUUAUGGUAUUCUUCUCUUUUCCAAAUUCAGAACUCUGGGUGAAUGGAUUUUCUUCCUAUUCUUAAAUAAAAAUAUGCUGUGACAAACAAUUCAGCAACAGAUGUGCAAAUCCAGGUCUACUCUAUUAAGCCAGACAUUUUUAAAUAGACUUUCAAAAUAUAAAUCAAGGUCAGUUUUCUCACUAUCUCUUCUUAUUUUAGAAAAUAUGCUAAUUUCUCAUAAAAACAAGUUAUUUAUGUUAACUUGAAUUGGGCAUAUUAUGAUAAUUUUUAAUGAAUAGAGAAGUCUUUAAUUUUCUUAAAUUUUAAUUUCUGUUAUGGUAUACAUAUUGCCACAUAAAUAAAAGCCUUUUUAAAGCUCCAAUAACUUUUAGGUGUAUAAAGGGUUCUGAAGAACAAAAGAUUUGUGAACCUCUGGUAGAGAACACUACAUUAGAGGACUUCUUGUCAAAUUUCUUCUCCUGUUGUCUCCUCAUUUAAAAUUAUCUUCCCAACCUUCUGCUUUCUACAUCGGUUCAGGCCUUGGUUCCUCUGUAGUCUGCUCCUCUCAUUAACACCCUAGCUCUGUUAACAGGAUCCUGCUCUGAUGCCCCUCAAGACUGAGAGCUUAUUUCUAUACCCCACCCUCCAAACGCAAGGCAUCAGCCACUGUUCCUAGAACUACUUCGUGCAUUGGUGGGUCUGCCUAACCUCUACCUGUUGGUCCCCUCAUAGCCUUGGUCAUUUUAAUUACAUUUUUUCUUCUCUCAACUAAUAGUGACCAAAGAUAGAACUUACCGGGGGAUCACUAUCGGCCAAACAGAGUUAAGACAAGGGUAGAGAAAAUGGGGAUGAGGAUUGAAAGAGACUUAAUUUUAUUUACAAAAAUAUGGUACACAAUUAUAUGAACAAAAGAAAUAACAAGGAAAUGAGAACAAGUAUAUAGAUUCUCAUUUUCCCAUUGUUAUACACCACUGUCUAGCAUUCUAAGCUACAUUUAUUAAUAUUUCUCUCCAAAUAUAGAUCACCCUGAAAAUUUUCCUGUACAUCUUUUAGAUAUUUCUAUCUUGAAUCACUUCAUAGAUGAUAUCAAAAGAUCAUAGGACAACAUUAUAAGAUGGAAGUAUUGAAAUAAACUCUAUGAGAAAACAAAAGCUUUAAAGUUCAAUAAACAUAUUUGCUUGUUUAUUACACACUAAUAAAGUCAAGUUCACUAGAACUUAGCCUAUGUUACCUUAUUUAAUGCUCACGAUAAUCAAAUGACUUAAAAAUAAUUAUUAUUCCUACUUUACAGAGAAUAGGGGCAAAAGAAUUAAAUAAUUUGUGCAAAGCUUUAUGGCUGGUAAGUGGUAGAAUUAGGAUUCAAACCAGGCCAUUUUGCCUUUACUGCAUGUAUCUCCCGUCCGCAUUUACAUCACCUCAUUCAUUCGAUUAAUUCUUUAUUGCAUGCCUAGAACAGUAAUGAGCAUCCUUCGAGGCCAAUCAGAACCUGAGGCCAGAGAAAUGAGGUGACUUGUGGAGGUCCAAUCAGAUGGGUUGGGGUCUGGGAAUGAAACUCUGGUCCCAACUCUCAAGCGCAGGUUCAUUUUUCUGAGCAGCCAGAGGUUGAGGUGUAAUUCACACGAUGAGUCCUGCUUCUUUGUGAUAUUUGUCCAGAUAGACUUGUUUGAAUGUAAAGAAUGAGGAGGGUCUAUGCAACUACAGAGGUAAGACUGAGUAGAAUUUUAAAAAAAUUAAAAACAAGAAACUCAUGAGACAGUAUUUUUAAAAUCUGUGUAACUUGGAAGAGUGAUGUCUUUAAUGUAAAUGUUUAAUAUUCCAAACCUCUGAAUCUGAUUGCAAUCUCAUUAGUACCAAUAUUCAAAUCCAGGGAGUUCUGAUGUUCCACUAACCUAUGUAGGAAGUCCAGACCUAUCUGGUCCUUGAAGUAUUUCUGGGAAUUCCCAGCGGUCCCCUUAAGGGUGUGUCCAUGUAUCAGACUACCCUUGUCGCCUACUGCAGGCAGUCAGCAGCCACUGCUCAGUGCCAGUCGCUGCCAGUUCUCCCACUAAGGGAGGGAGGGGGAGAAUAUGGCCUUUCCCCUUGGGCUCAGCUCCGCUGUGGAGGGCCACAGCUAUUGCAUCCCUCAGUACUGCCAAGUUGGAGAAAAGCUCCAGCUAUUUUCACACACAGCCCUUCUCCCCAACUGCUCACAGGCCCAGAACUAAUAUAUUGGUUCUGUUCCCAUGCCGGAUGUACCAAGCAAGACUGCUUCUUAUCUUGUGAUGAAUUUUUCUCUCGUGGUAUUAGAAUAGUCCUUCUUAGACUCAGUCCUGUCUCACACCAAUGACAAUGGCAGCUAGAAAUAUCUCCCUAUAGCUUUACCCCUAGUUAAUCUAUGUGGGAAACACAUACACUGUGGGGAUGUGAGGGUGAGAAGUGGGGGAAAACAAGGAACAGUAGUCAUCCAAUUUCACAGGAAAAUGUACCUAUCAUUGGCCUGUCUAGCUCAGUCAGAGCACCUGUUACAGACAUAUGGAACAGAAAAUUCCUGUGAAUAGACCCCUCCCUCUGCCAGCAGCAUGGCUGUAGCCAGCCAAUUUCUUAACUGGUAGUUUUUUGUUUAUUUUAUUUUCUUAUAUUUUUGCUUUUUAGGGCCACACUCAUUGCAUAUAGAAGUUCCCAGGCUAGGAGUCCAACCGGAGCUAUAGCUGCUGGCCUACACUGCAACCACAGCAACGCAGGAUCCGAGUUGCAUCUGUGAGCUACACCACGGCUCAUGGCAACACGGGAUCUUUAACCCACUGUGUGAGGCCAGGGAUGGAAUCUACAUCCUGGUGGAUACUAGCCAGGUUCAUAACCCACUGAGCCACAACAGGAACUCGCUUCACUAGUAGUUUUUCAGACACUGGCAUAAAUUCCUCUGUUUUAAGCACAAUAUCUACAAUGUUUCAACAAUAUAUUUUACUGGAAAGAAAGGGACUUCUAGAUUUCUGUCGCAAACCGUCAAAAUUCAGUGUUCCCAAACACACAUUCUUUAUAAUCUUUAUAAUCACUUAUGUGUCUUGGAGGUCAACCUUAGACAUGCUCUACCAUGCAGGCAGGAACAUGGGUAGCGAGAGGGACAAUUUUGAAUGUUCCACAUAGAAUUGUGUCAUAGAAAAAGUAUUUACCACUUGUUAAAAUAGUACAGAAGAUUUUAUUCAAGACCAUUCCAAGAGGGGAGAAAGACCAAACUCAAUUCUGAAUACAAUCAAGACAAGUGGGUGAUUUAUAGCCGAUUACAGUUAGAGUGAAGGAUUUAGUGGAUGGACAAUCACUGAGGAUAUACAAAGUCAGGGGGAUUCUUUCUAAACUAACCUGAUGAGAUUCUUGCUAAAGGCAGGUCAAGUUCAGGCGUAAUCGAGAAGAGAGUUAAGAAGAACUUGACUAAACCUUGGUCAAGGAGGGCUGAACACAACAUUCCGGCUUUGAGAUCUAUGUUCCAAAAGCUCUGAAAUGUAAAGAGGGUCUGUUUGCUUAUUGCACUUCAGUAUUUAUUCAUUCAGCUUUGCUCAAGUGGUAAAUUUCUAAUCAACUCAAUUUGGAAAGGUGUUAUUUUGCAACUUUUUCAAAAAUUCAUAAAGGAAGCUGAAAUAUGGGGAGUGUGCAAAUCAUAGUAUUCAAAUAAUUAGACAGUAAUAUCUCUGGAUUCCCCUAUCCUUAAUAUCCAUGCACUUACCUAUUUAUUCUAUAAAUGAUGGCUACCAUCCCUUUUCAGUCCUUUCUUCUAUAUCUCUCCUUUUCCUACCUGCACCUGUAACCUUACCAAUUUAUCACACAGUCACUCAUUUAGGGGGAAAAAAUCUGGAAAGCAAAACCUGUUUCAUCCUUUGUAAUGUACUUAGAUAGAAAGUGCUUUCCAUAAUCCACAAUCAUUCUGCAGCUAGAAAAGACUCUUAACAGUCAUCUCUUCCAGCUCUCUCACUUAAUAAUUCAGGAAACUGAGGUCCAGACCAGUUGGUGAUUUAAUUAAAUUUUCAUAGUUAAUACUAAAAAUAAAUGUAUUUUCACACCUGAAGUUUAAAGUCCAUUCAAGUAUUAAAAAUCAUGAAAUUACAUUUUUUUAAAUCCUGAGCUGACCAUAACAGAAAAUACCAGUUUCUCCUGCUUCCCUACGAGGUGAGUUAGGAGAAUUGGUCACUUCUAUUUUUAACAAAGAAAGAGUUGAUAAGAUACUGUCUGAAUUGAAGAAUUUCUAGAAACUUGAAUGGUCUAAAAAUAUUAACUUUAUGUUUGGGACAGAAUUUUGCUAGAAUCACAUUACCCAGUGUUCAGAAAUGGAAAUAAACAGUCUCCAAUCAGAAGACUUGACUGAGGCGAAUGGGUGACUCUAUGGGGCCACUAAUUCAUAUGCAGAAGGAAGACACAUGAGCCCAGGGAAUUAUAGUCACUAUCCAGUGAUAAGCCAUACUGGAAAAGAAUAUGAAAAAAAAAAAUGGGUAUAUGUAUACGUACAACCAAAUUAUUUUGUUUUACAGCAGAAAUUGACAUAACGUUGUAAAUCAAUUGUGCUUCAAUAAGAUAAAAGAAAAAA
This 5002-nucleotide long non-coding RNA is filed under the name Sus scrofa (pig). RNAcentral describes it as "lncRNA (ENSSSCG00050073385.1)". The record is from RNAcentral. Lineage: Eukaryota; Metazoa; Chordata; Mammalia; Artiodactyla; Suidae.